Molecule: small RNA, 566 nt
Filed under: Pan troglodytes (chimpanzee)
Lineage: Eukaryota; Metazoa; Chordata; Mammalia; Primates; Hominidae
Description: retained intron
Source: RNAcentral
CCGGGUGAGGCGGCGAGGGCGGCCCGACGGGCGCGGGACGGGACGGGGCAGCGAGGGCGCCGGGAGCCGCGGCCCGGAGUCGGGGCGCUUCGCCCCGGGCCCCCCAGCAUGAAGACCCCGGCGGACACAGGGUUUGCCUUCCCGGAUUGGGCCUACAAGCCAGAGUCGUCCCCUGGCUCAAGGCAGAUCCAGCUGUGGCACUUUAUCCUGGAGCUGCUGCGGAAGGAGGAGUACCAGGGCGUCAUUGCCUGGCAGGGGGACUACGGGGAAUUCGUCAUCAAAGACCCUGAUGAGGUGGCCCGGCUGUGGGGCGUCCGCAAGUGCAAGCCCCAGAUGAAUUACGACAAGCUGAGCCGGGCCCUGCGGUGAGGACGGGCUGGGGACCCCUGAGCACAUGUGGAGUGCCCCCCCGGGGUUGCACAGCCCCUUGCCUGUGGGAACAAGCAUUGGGUCUGACCCCUGGCUUUGCCAAAUCCUAGCUGUGUGACCUUGGGCCACUCCCAGCCCUUCCCUGAGCCCCUUGGUAACACAGACGUAUCCUGAGGAGAGAUUACAGUCACCAGUGG